Molecule: ribosomal RNA, 124 nt
Filed under: Chinchilla lanigera (long-tailed chinchilla)
Lineage: Eukaryota; Metazoa; Chordata; Mammalia; Rodentia; Chinchillidae
Source: RNAcentral
AUCUAUGGGCAUACCAUUCUGAACGCACCCGACCUCAUCUGAUUCCGGAAGCUAAGCAGGGUUGGGCCUUGUUAGUACUUGGAUGGGAGAAUACUCUUAGAAUUAUAAGAAUUUUUCUGAGGUC